This 218-nucleotide long non-coding RNA is filed under the name Capsicum annuum. RNAcentral's name for it is "long non-coding RNA (CANN_LNC008257)". Lineage: Eukaryota; Viridiplantae; Streptophyta; Magnoliopsida; Solanales; Solanaceae. The record is from RNAcentral.
AGAAGGUGAGAAAGAAGAAGAAGCUGGGAAAAAUGAAAAAUAAUUGAUAAAAUUAAAUGAGUAAGAAGCAAAUAAAGAAGAAGAACAUAAGAAAAAAAAAUAAAGAAAAGAAAGAAGAAAAAGAAGAAGCAGACAAAGAAGACGCAGAACAAGAGAAAAAUGAGGAGAGAGAAGAAGAGAAAAAAGAUGAAGAAAAAAAAGAUGUUCAUGAUGCGGUG